GGGACAGACACACGUUGCGGGGCAACGAUUGUAAAAGA
Ruminococcus sp. DSM 100440 is the source of this 38-nucleotide non-coding RNA. NCBI's taxonomy places the organism in Bacteria, Bacillati, Bacillota, Clostridia, Eubacteriales, Oscillospiraceae. The record is from Rfam.